GACGAACGCUGGCAGCAUGCUUAACACAUGCAAGUCGAACGGAAAGGCCCUGCUUUUGUGGGGUGCUCGAGUGGCGAACGGGUGAGUAACACGUGAGUAACCUGCCCUUGACUUUGGGAUAACUUCAGGAAACUGGGGCUAAUACCGGAUAGGAGCUCCUGCUGCAUGGUGGGGGUUGGAAAGUUUCGGCGGUUGGGGAUGGACUCGCGGCUUAUCAGCUUGUUGGUGGGGUAGUGGCUUACCAAGGCUUUGACGGGUAGCCGGCCUGAGAGGGUGACCGGCCACAUUGGGACUGAGAUACGGCCCAGACUCCUACGGGAGGCAGCAGUGGGGAAUAUUGCACAAUGGGCGGAAGCCUGAUGCAGCAACGCCGCGUGCGGGAUGACGGCCUUCGGGUUGUAAACCGCUUUCGCCUGUGACGAAGCGUGAGUGACGGUAAUGGGUAAAGAAGCACCGGCUAACUACGUG
RNAcentral lists this ribosomal RNA (468 nucleotides) under uncultured bacterium. RNAcentral's name for it is "partial 16S ribosomal RNA". It matches the Rfam family "Bacterial small subunit ribosomal RNA", at positions 28 to 507 of the family's 1533-position model. The record is from RNAcentral.